This 29-nucleotide non-coding RNA is filed under the name Rattus norvegicus (Norway rat). The record is from RNAcentral. Lineage: Eukaryota; Metazoa; Chordata; Mammalia; Rodentia; Muridae.
UGGUAAGGAUGCAGAGAACAAACAGGAGU